AAUUGUUGAAAAAAAAGAGAGAUAAUCCUCAUUAAUAUAUAUAUUUAAGGUAUUCGAAUUAAUACACUCUAUACUAGACUUAAGAUAUCCUAAUAUUUUUGCAUGUUAUGAUUUUCAAAUUUUGUUUAGGAAACAAAAAAAAAAAAAAAUCUUGAAUAUUAAGUAAGAAUAGCUGAAUAGGAAGCAUCGUGUGACAGCCUAUUCACC
Molecule: long non-coding RNA, 207 nt
Filed under: Capsella rubella
Lineage: Eukaryota; Viridiplantae; Streptophyta; Magnoliopsida; Brassicales; Brassicaceae
Description: long non-coding RNA (CRUB_LNC003928)
Source: RNAcentral